CCUACGGGUGGCAGCAGUGGGGAAUAUUGCACAAUGGGGGAAACCCUGAUGCAGCGACGCCGCGUGAAGGAAGAAGUCCUUCGGUGUGUAAACUUCUAUCAGCAGGGAAGAAAAUGACGGUACCUGACUAAGAAGCCCCGGCUAACUACGUGCCAGCAGCCGCGGUAAUACGUAGGGGGCAAGCGUUAUCCGGAUUUACUGGGUGUAAAGGGAGCGUAGGCGGUUUAGCAAGUCAGAAGUGAAAGCCCGGGGCUCAAGCCCGGGACUGCUUUUGAAACUGUGGAACUAGAGUGCAGGAGAGGUAAGUGGAAUUCCUAGUGUAGCGGUGAAAUGCGUAGAUAUUAGGAGGAACACCAGUGGCGAAGGCGGCUUACUGGACUGUAAAUGACACUGAGGCUCGAAAGCGUGGGGAGCAAACAGGAUUAGAUACCCUAGUAGUC
This 440-nucleotide ribosomal RNA is filed under the name uncultured bacterium. Its description in RNAcentral is "partial 16S ribosomal RNA". It matches the Rfam family "Bacterial small subunit ribosomal RNA", at positions 338 to 795 of the family's 1533-position model. The record is from RNAcentral.